This 484-nucleotide ribosomal RNA is filed under the name uncultured bacterium. Its description in RNAcentral is "partial 16S ribosomal RNA". It matches the Rfam family "Bacterial small subunit ribosomal RNA", at positions 29 to 507 of the family's 1533-position model. The record is from RNAcentral.
AUUGAACGCUGGCGGCAUGCCUUACACAUGCAAGUCGAACGGCCGCGCGGGCUUCGGCCUGGUGGCGAGUGGCGAACGGGCGAGUAAUUAAUCGGAACGUGACCAGCCGAGGGGGCUAGCUCGGCGACAGCCGGACUAAUCCAGCAUACGAUAUGAGGGUGAACGGGGGGGUUCUUUAGUACUAGAGGUUUUUGCGCGGCCGAUGGCAGAUUUGCUAGUUGGUGGGGUAAAGGCCUAACAAGGCGACGAUCUGUAGCUGGUCUGAGGGGACGACCAGCCAAACUGGGACUGAGACACGGCCCAGACCCCUACGGGAGGCAGCAGUGGGGAAUUUUGGACAAUGGGCGAAAGCCUGAUCCAGCAAUGCCGCGUGUGGGAUGAAGGCCUUCGGGUUGUAAAGCACUUUUGGCGGGAACGAAAAAGACGGUGCCAAUACCACGGUUCGAUGACGGUACCCGCAGAAUAAGCACCGGCUAACUACGUG